AUACGGAGGGGGCUAGCGUUGUUCGGAAUUACUGGGCGUAAAGCGCGUGUAGGCGGAUCGUUAAGUCAGGGGUGAAAGCCCGGGGCUCAACCCCGGAACUGCCCUUGAUACUGGCGAUCUAGCGUCCGGAAGAGGUGGGCGGAAUUCCCGGUGUAGAGGUGAAAUUCGUAGAUAUCGGGAGGAACACCAGUGGCGAAGGCGGCUCACUGGUCCGGCACUGACGCUGAGACGCGAAAGCGUGGGGAGCAAACAGGAUUAGAAACCCUAGUAGUCC
Molecule: ribosomal RNA, 274 nt
Filed under: uncultured bacterium
Lineage: Bacteria
Description: partial 16S ribosomal RNA
Rfam family: Bacterial small subunit ribosomal RNA
Source: RNAcentral